UUUAUACAUUUACUUUACUUUAUUCGAGAGUUGGAGAAUAGAUUAGAGAGAUAAGAGGGACACUCCGGUAAGCUUACGGCUUCCGUGCAGUGCGAGCGAGCGAACGAGAAGUUGUAGUUAUUGAUUUCAAUUUCCAAGUCCCAACCAUAAACAAACAGACAAAUCCAUUUCCUCAACAAAGAAACACACACCAAACCGCGCGAAUCAAAAGAUGGCGGAUCCGAUCCCGGCGCCACCAAGAUCCGCCACGGACCUCUUCUCGGAUCCUCUCGACGCCCACCCGCUGUGGUUCAAACCGGCGUCGUUUCUCUCCCCCGACUUCGACUCCGAAUCCUACAUCUCGGAGCUCCGAACCUUCGUCCCCUUCGACACGCUCCGCUCCGAGCUAAACAGCUACCUAUCCUCCCUCAACCACGAGCUCAUCGACCUCAUCAACCGCGACUACGCCGACUUCGUCAACCUCAGCACCAAGCUCGUCGACGUCGACGCCGUCGUCGUCCGAAUGCGGGCCCCGCUCGUCGAGCUCCGCGACAAGAUCGAGCAGUUCAGAGGAUCCGUCGAGGUCUCGCUUGUCGCCAUCAAGAAUCGCUUGAGGCAGAGAUCUGAGGUGGCCUCCGCUAGAGAGACUUUAGAGCUUCUUCUUGAUGCGUUUCACGUCGUUUCUAAGGUUGAGAAGCUAAUAAAAGAGCUGCCCAGUGUACCCACCGAUUGGUCAAAUGGAGAUGUAAAUUUGUCAGAGAGGAAUAACUUAAGCAAUGGAGUUUCUGCGCAGCAUGUUGAGAAUGAAAUGAUUAUCAGAGAGACUCAAAGCAUGCUGCUGGAAAGAAUUGCCAGUGAGAUGAACCGACUAAAGUUCUAUGUGACACAUGCAAAGAACCUUCCUUUUAUUGAGAAUAUGGAGAAGAGGAUUCAAAAUGCAAGUGUAACAGUAGAUGCAAGCUUGGGACAUUGCUUUGUAAAUGGUUUGGAGCACCGAGAUGCAACUGCAAUUUUCAAUUGCUUACGUGCAUAUGCUGCUAUAGAUAACACUAAGAGUGCAGAAGAAAUUUUUCGAGUUACUGUUGUGGCUCCAUUGAUACAGAAGAUUAUCCCACAUGGAUCAUCAGCUGUGGUUGCUGGAUCAUUUGGGGAUGGUCUAGAAAAUGAUUAUCAACUAAUUAAGGAGUUCAUUGAUAAAGACUGUAAAUUUUUAUUGGAAAUUUCUUCAGCUGAAAAUUCAGGUUUGCAUGUCUUUGACUUCUUAGCCAAUUCAAUCCUUAAGGAGGUUCUCUCUGCAAUUCAGAAGGGAAAGCCAGGUGCAUUUUCUCCCGGAAGGCCAACAGAGUUCUUGAAAAAUUACAAAUCAAGCUUAGAUUUCUUGGCUUUUCUAGAAGGCUACUGUCCAUCCAGAUCUGCUGUUGCUAAAUUUCGAUCUGAAGCAAUUUAUACAGAAUUCAUGAAGCAAUGGAACAUUGGAGUAUAUUUCUCUUUGAGGUUUCAGGAAAUAGCAGGGUCACUAGAUUCUGUGCUUACAACAUCCAGUCUUGUCCCUGUUCAAAAUUCAGAUGCUGGCGAAGCAAAUUAUCAAGGUUUAACAUUAAAGCAAAGUGUUACUUUGUUGGAGAGUUUGAGAUCAUGCUGGAGAGAAGAUGUUCUUGUCCUUUCUUGUUCUGACAGAUUCCUUCGGCUAUCCUUGCAGCUUCUUUCUAGAUACUCAAGUUGGCUGUCUUCUGGACUGACUGCUCGCAAAAACCAUAACACAAGCACUAGCCCUGGGUGUGAAUGGGCCGUUUCAGCUGUCAUAGAUGACUUUAUUUUUGUUAUUCAUGAUAUAAGAUAUUUGGAGGAGCAGGUUCAUGGUGAUUACCUUCAACAUGUGCUUCAGCUUUUGUCUUCAUGCUCCCCUGAUGUUCUGGAAUCAAUAAGGCAGAGCAUUUUACUGAGUGGUCAAUCAUUAAAAUCUGUAGAACCGUUAGUCAUUAAAGCAGUGGUGGAGUCACUAGUUGAAAAGUCAGUUGAGGACUUAAGACAAAUGAAGGGGAUAACAGCAACCUAUAGGAUGACUAAUAAACCUCUACCUGUGAGGCAUUCACCAUAUAUUUCAGGGGUAUUACGUCCCCUUAAGCUAAAACUAAAAACAUCAACGUAUAUUGGCGGCAUGCCUAUGCAUCUCAGGCUUUUUUGGGUGGGGAGAGAGCUACAAGAUAUUUGGUCAGUGAAACUAGGAAUGAAAUACUCCUCUGUGCUGCAACUGAGAUUACUGACCGUUAUUAUGAAUUAGCUGCUGACCUUGUUAGCGUGGCAAGAAAGACAGAGUCUUCACUCCAGAAAAUUAGGCAGAGUGCACAAAGACGAGCUGGAGCCAGUUCAGAUAUCUUAGAUAAUAAUGUGUCUGAUACUGAUAAAAUCUGUAUGCAGUUGUUUCUUGAUAUUCAGGAGUAUGCCCGGAACCUCUCUGCACUGGGGGUUGAAGCAGCCAAUAUUGCAUCCUACCGUUCAUUAUGGCAAUGUGUGGCUCCUGCAGAUAGGCAAAACACAAUUAAUCUCUAAGAGUUUGCUCCUAUGGAGUUAAAGCGGCUUGUAGAUUGUUUUCCUCUGGGUCUAGAGUUUCCUUUUGUAACUUAAUUUUGAAAUCCAUUAUAUAGCUUUACACAAUAAUCACAGGUUAUCAUGGUUCUUAAAAGGGAAGAAAAAAAUUAUUUUGCUCGUAACUGUUAUCUUUAAGGUUCUCUGUAGUUACUACGAUAGCAGAUGUGAUAUUCUUUGUGGCAUUGUGUUUCUUAUCAUCAUUCUUUUAAAUUGCUUUUUCAAA
RNA transcript from Glycine soja, 2791 nucleotides. It is a transcript of the gene named conserved oligomeric Golgi complex subunit 2-like, with no coding region annotated. Lineage: Eukaryota; Viridiplantae; Streptophyta; Magnoliopsida; Fabales; Fabaceae. The record is from RefSeq and is a predicted model, not a curated record. The transcript has 12 exons.